Molecule: long non-coding RNA, 406 nt
Organism: Myotis myotis
Lineage: Eukaryota; Metazoa; Chordata; Mammalia; Chiroptera; Vespertilionidae
Exons: 2
Source: RefSeq, a predicted model, not a curated record
ACCAGGACCUGGGCCAAGGAGGAUCCUGCAACCGAGAUUUGUUUGCAUCAUUUCUCUAGCAGCUCCAAUCAAGAGGACGUAUGUGAUUCGAGUAAGAGGUGAGGCACUGUGAAAUGCCUUUCCUCUGGUUCUGUCAGAAUCCAAAUGUUGGAACUGUUAGGGCUUUGCUUUGCAAGCUCAGCCAUCCUGAGUAUUGCUGGGGAAUGAGGUAACCUGGAGAGUAAAGUUCAACCUAAAAAUUAACAUUGGACCAAAGUGUUCAGUGUCUUGUAGGAGAAACAAGAGGAAUGACUGGUAAUCAGAAGAGCUUCACACUUGGGAAGAGAAAGAGGAAGCCCUAGGAAGAACACAAGACUGAUCUUUAGGGGACAACUCACCAAAAAGAAAAGGAAUAAAAAAAAUACUC